This 380-nucleotide ribosomal RNA is filed under the name uncultured eukaryote. RNAcentral describes it as "partial 18S ribosomal RNA". It matches the Rfam family "Eukaryotic small subunit ribosomal RNA", at positions 592 to 976 of the family's 1831-position model. The record is from RNAcentral.
CAAUAGCGUAUAUUAAAGUUGUUGCGGUUAAAAAGCUCGUAGUUGGAUUUCUGCCGAGGACGUCCGGUCCGCCCUCUGGGUGUGUACAUGGUACGGCCUGGGCAUCUUCUUGGAAAACGUAUCUGCACUUGACUGUGUGGUGCGGUAUCCAGGACUUUUACUUUGAGGAAAUUAGAGUGUUUCAAGCAGGCCUACGCCUUGAAUACAUUAGCAUGGAAUAAUAAGAUAGGACCUCGGUUCUAUUUUGUUGGUUUCUAGAGCUGAGGUAAUGAUUAAUAGGGAUAGUUGGGGGCAUUCGUAUUUAACUGUCAGAGGUGAAAUUCUUGGAUUUGUUAAAGACGAACUACUGCGAAAGCAUUUGCCAAGGAUGUUUUCAUUGA